Molecule: transfer RNA, 72 nt
Filed under: Bos taurus (domestic cattle)
Lineage: Eukaryota; Metazoa; Chordata; Mammalia; Artiodactyla; Bovidae
Also listed under: 4 other names
Rfam family: tRNA
About the family: Transfer RNA (tRNA) molecules are approximately 80 nucleotides in length. Their secondary structure includes four short double-helical elements and three loops (D, anti-codon, and T loops). Further hydrogen bonds mediate the characteristic L-shaped molecular structure. tRNAs have two regions of fundamental functional importance: the anti-codon, which is responsible for specific mRNA codon recognition, and the 3' end, to which the tRNAs corresponding amino acid is attached (by aminoacyl-tRNA synthetases). tRNAs cope with the degeneracy of the genetic code in two manners: having more than one tRNA (with a specific anti-codon) for a particular amino acid; and 'wobble' base-pairing, i.e. permitting non-standard base-pairing at the 3rd anti-codon position.
Source: Rfam by way of RNAcentral
UCCCUGAUGGUCCACUGGUUGGGACUAGGUGCUCUCACUGCCAUAGCCCAGGUUCAAUUCCUGGUUGGGGAA